RNAcentral lists this ribosomal RNA (253 nucleotides) under uncultured bacterium. Its description in RNAcentral is "partial 16S ribosomal RNA". It matches the Rfam family "Bacterial small subunit ribosomal RNA", at positions 524 to 776 of the family's 1533-position model. The record is from RNAcentral.
UACGGAGGGUGCGAGCGUUAAUCGGAAUUACUGGGCGUAAAGAGUGCGUAGGUGGUUGAAUAAGUUAUCUGCGAAAUCCCUGGGCUCAACCUGGGCAGGUCAGAUAAUACUGUUUGACUCGAGUAUGGGAGAGGGUAGUGGAAUUUCCGGUGUAGCGGUGAAAUACGUAGAGAUCGGAAGGAACACCAGUGGCGAAGGCGGCUACCUGGCCUAAUACUGACACUGAGGCACGAAAGCGUGGGGAGCAAACAGG